CGGGCCGCAGACAAGAACCAGGUGGCCCUUUUUGCCCAGGCCGCAGACAAGAACCAGAUUAGUUUUACCAGAUCCCUUCCGCCCCCCACCCGCACUACCGCGCCCAAGAGGAUUCAAAAGGGAGCGGCGGCGGCAAGAGGCCCGGCGCCGACCGCAACCCUAGCCCGAAUCAGCACCCGCCGGCCGACGCUUCCGGAGGGAGCCGCUGCGGCGGCCGAGGCCGACGACGAGGCGCGGCGCCCGUUCACGGCCCUCAGCCAGGUCCACGCCGACCUCAUCCUGGCGUGCGUCCCCCAGGAGCAGGCAAGCUGGCUAGAUCUCGCGUCCCCGGCGGUCCCGUUCCCGUCCCUGGGGUUCGGAGGAGAGGGCGGAUGAACGGAGGCGGCGAGGCCAGCGAUUAUGGGAGCUCGGAGGGCGCGCCUCGUCGUCGGCCUCAGCCAGGUCCACGCCGACCUAGCCCUGGCGAGCAAGUUGGCUAGAUCUCGCGGCCCUGGCCGUCCCGUCCCCGUAGCUCCCGCUGGGCCUGGUUGGCUGUUUGCUGAUUGGCCUGGUUACUAAUGUGCGUAGGCCACAACUCCAGGAUGCUAAAAUUGAGUGCGGUCACCACGCAUACAACCAAACAUAGCUACUGCAUGAAAUCACGAUCGUACGUGGUGGAGGCGGCAGCGGCAGCGAAUAGGUCAUUAGGGCAUGGCAGGGCGGCUGCCAUGGGCCGGCGAGGUGGUGAACAGCGACUCAGCGAGGCCGUGAGGGUGAGCAGAUCAGCACAUGGCGUCAAAAAGAAGAUCGAAUAUUUGUAUUAUGUUGCUGACUUCCGUCGAUUGAAAUUGUAUUAGAUCAAAUAUGGGUAUAUAAAGGAAUUGAUCUUGCUGAAAUUAAGAAAGAAUUUCAAAAUAUACCAAGAAGAAUGCCUUUGCCACAGUCAAUAAAGCUUUAUUAUAGGAAUGGAAAGGUCACAUGGUUGAGGAUCUAUGCUUGUUGUGGUUGCAGUCCUGUGGAUCAAGGUGUUGUUCUCGAGUGCUAGAGUAAUUUGGUUAUCCUGUCGGCUCCCAGCUUCCAGGUUCUAAUUAUAUGUGGUUCCAGUCCUGUGGAUCAACAUGUUGUUCUUGGAUGCUAGAUUAAUUUGGUUAUCCUAUCGGCUCCCAGCUUCCAUUAUAUGAGGACUUGGUGCUUUACUGUCGGUUGUUUUGUUUGGUUCUCUUGUUUUCUGAUUCUUUGCUUCAUGUGUUUCGCAUGUUGAUAUGCCUGUCCUUGUUAGGUUGCGUCGCUUGUGGCUCUGGGGUUUCUUGUUCUUCUUUGAUUAUGAUGUUUGUUGGCUGAUUCUAUUCCAUCUUGCUUUUUCAGGACUGUAUGUUGUUGGUUGGUCUGUGCUGUUCUUCUUUUAUCGUCUAUAGGUGGGACAUGCUCUUUACCCUGCAUUUUUGUAUCCUUUUUAGGCUGUCGGUUUUCCAUUCCGGGUAUAUAAAUUCCUUCUAUUGGAUGCUUUGGUGGACACAAAAGCUUAACACAUGUUACAUCGUGCUAUUUGACUCCUUUCGUGUGUCAUAUAGAACAUCCAUGUGAGAUAAAGCAAAAAGGCAGAGACCAAAUAUAAGAGCUGAGGGAUAUGUGGAAGAGGGACGGGAUGAGCUUGCGGCUUACGAGCCAUUCAAAUAAUCAGACAUGCAUGGUUUCUUGGUUUUUCACUUGUUGAAUCUGUUAACCUGAAGAUUUUUUUUCUUCUUUGCGGCAAAUUCCAGGGUAAAAUAUAAAACAGAAUCUGUCACCUGAAGGCAUUCUGUCGAGGCCUUGCUCAGAGGUUGGAUGAUUACGAGCAAGAUGCAAGGACACAAAAAGCUUGGGAUGCAGAAAGGUUAGACGCUAGCUGCCGCUAGCGCACGGUGGCGUGCUGCAUCUCCCAUCGGUGCUUGCGACAGGAGAACUACAUCCCUGGCCUAUUCAUCUAUGCCUCAGCUGCUGCCUCUCCAAGUAAUGCCAAACCUAUAGGCUAUAACAGGUGUAUGGAUGCCGACAUUCAGACUGGUCAGCUAAGAGACCAGGACACGGAAUCUGGAGAGGUCCUUGGUCAUCAGCUGGUCCAUCAUGAGUGUAAGGUUGAUUUUGACAUGUAGAUGUUGAUGUCCCAAGCUGAAUUUCAAGAUACUCGUGGCAGCAAUUUCCCAUAGAAGUGUUGUGGUUUAGUUCGCUAUACUAUUAGAAUUACGCGAGGUGUGCGUGUAUCAUCGGGGUGGUGCUGAGUCAACUAAAAGUCAGAGGCGCUAAUAUGUGUGCAUUACCUACUGUUGUAUAUUUUUCAAUCAUGCACUCUGUUCUCUUAAUGAUUAACUGUGAAUGAAAUGGAUGAGGGCAAUAAUGUUCAUGUGCUAGAACAGAACUCUGGAAACUUGAAUGGAAAGAACCUUUAAAGCA
Non-coding RNA from Triticum urartu, 2409 nucleotides. NCBI's taxonomy places the organism in Eukaryota, Viridiplantae, Streptophyta, Magnoliopsida, Poales, Poaceae. The record is from RefSeq and is a predicted model, not a curated record.